UCGAGCGAGUCCGCGAUCCGUUUGUUUUGGUGUCAAUCGGCGGCAGUGUUCGUGCUUGAAUGUUACGAAACAGCGUUUUAUUUUUAAAAUUCGCGAGCAUGGGCCGCAGGGAGCGAUCAUCAAGGUAAGCGAAAAGCACCAAGUUGAUGGGAAGCAGGUGCCAAACUCAACAGGUCUUUUUGGAGCUCAUCAGAACACAUGGACGCGUGUGCAUCGGCAGCACUGCCCGGCUUUGUCACAGAUAAGAGAAUGACUAUUUGUAAUAGACGACGAUCUCAAAUUCUUUGAAACGGUGUGAGGUCGAAGAGGAGGCGCUGUCGACUUUUGUGAGCGAUGCGAGGGGUCAUGUCGCGCCGGUUCUGCGUGAAAGGCUGUUCCGACGGAGCCUCCACCGAAACUACGAUGCACAGAUGCCAAACCCAGCUGUUUCGAUCGUUUGUGGAUUUUCUUUGCGAAGUCUGAGAGGUUGUCAGGCACCAAAAAGGGAACUUCGAAUGAUUUCCCGAGUCCCCGAUCAUCCUCAGUGCCACAUGUGCCGAACACCGCAGCGUUUUCAGAGGGAAGAUAAAAAGCCAGUAGCGACAUCACUUCCGGACUCUGAUUUUCGGUACUUCAGACAGAAGGGCCAUAGUGCAUUCGCAAUUGCAUUAAAAAAAGAUGUUUUACGAAUGCCAUCAUUAAAUAUUAUUGAAAUGUCGCUUACAAAGCUUCUAAAUUUCAUAAUUGAUUAUGUCACAAAUAAAAAAAAAGCGAGGAGGUGAGAGGAGGGAGAGAAAGGCACAAAAGAUAAAAAGGUGUGUGCUCGUGCGGGGAAUUUUUUUUUUUGUGUUGCUUCGUGUGUUUAUGACUUUUUGCAUCGUUUUAGACAAUAACAAAAAAUAUGACUUUAAGGGUGUCUGUGCCCCUUUAAAUUUUGAGCUAAUAUGCGUAUAAAUGUUCUGUUCAUUAUUUUUUCUAUAUGUGGAACAUUUUUUAAAAUUUUAUU
Molecule: unclassified non-coding RNA, 985 nt
Filed under: Ixodes scapularis (black-legged tick)
Lineage: Eukaryota; Metazoa; Arthropoda; Arachnida; Ixodida; Ixodidae
Description: protein krueppel-like, transcript variant X4
Source: RNAcentral